RNAcentral lists this long non-coding RNA (1201 nucleotides) under Sus scrofa (pig). RNAcentral's name for it is "lncRNA (ENSSSCG00070003389.1)". Lineage: Eukaryota; Metazoa; Chordata; Mammalia; Artiodactyla; Suidae. The record is from RNAcentral.
AUGGAUUCCCUGAAGAACCUGGGUUGUUUGCCCGUGGAGUUUGCCUCGAUUUUGACGGAGUCACGGUGGUUAACGUAUUUCUCUGCUAAACGGGGGGCGGACUCGGCCAGCGCUUGUGUUGAGCACACGGUGCUCAUCGCAUGGAAAUUCUCGGGGCUUCCCUCUCCGCCCGUUUCCCUGUGUCAGGCGAGGCCGGCCCCCGCACCCAGAGCCACAUGGAGGAGGAUACGGAGCCGGUGGCCGAGAGGAGCCCAGCUGCCCGUCGCCCCGAGUACCGGCUCAGAACCACCACCUCGGCCCACCUCCUCGGCUGUAAACACCACCUUAGAAACACCUCGACUGCUGACGUGGUCGGAAAGGGUGCUUUUAAAACUGUGAAGACGGCGUGAAUUCCCUUCAGAGACGUUUUUAUCCUGGCAGGAAAACGCAGGGGUGAGGGUUUUGUUUUUCUGAAACCUCGUGUCUUGAAGCCUGUUCCGCACAAAUGCAGCACGUCCCAGCCCUGCCAGGUGCAAGCUGUUGGGGGAGCGUGGGGUGGGGUGUGGAGACCCCCCUGAAAUCCAAGACCGGUGGGAACUCAUUGUUUCCCGCCUUUGCCCUCGUCUUGAGAAGAGGCGGGCAAGCUCGUCGAGGGCCAGCGUGUGUUCGUGCAAACAGUGCGUCACCUGCAGGAGGGUGAGGGGUGCUCAGGAAUGCGCCGCAGAUGCAAACACCUCGGGGGUUUCACGCCUUGGGCGCUGCCACCCGGGUCAGGCGGCUGGACCCUUGGCCGCCGAGUCAGGCCGCGUGACGGGUGAGGCGCAGGCUGUAAAUGGCGCCCGUCUUCUUGUUUCGGGUCCUUGGAAAUGAUGGCUUUUCCUGAGAAGAACAGUUAUCAGAGAAAAAUGCUUGCUUGGAGUUCUGGAAAGGAAAGAAAGACAAGACAGUGAGUGCGACAGGGUGAAGAGGAGUUUGCACAGGAAAGGCUGGCCGUAUUUUGCCAAAACGAUGGCAUUUCUGUCAUCUGUGUCCAGCACACUUCACUUAUCUGGAAGACGCGGAGCCAUCAAAAAAAGUCGGGAAUUCCAAGCCAUGACCUGCCGAGGGCACAGAUGGUAACAUUUGGGAUGGUUUUAGUGUAAAAAAUGUGUUUAUAGAAUCUGCCUUAAAAUCUCCAGGCUGACAGUGAGCUUAAUAAAAAUAUCCAGCCGGAUUUUUAGCA